RNAcentral lists this ribosomal RNA (591 nucleotides) under uncultured Geobacter sp. RNAcentral's name for it is "bacterial SSU rRNA". It matches the Rfam family "Bacterial small subunit ribosomal RNA", at positions 335 to 916 of the family's 1533-position model. The record is from RNAcentral. Lineage: Bacteria; Pseudomonadati; Thermodesulfobacteriota; Desulfuromonadia; Geobacterales; Geobacteraceae.
ACUCYUACGGGAGGCAGCAGUGGGGAAUUUUGCGCAAUGGGGGAAACCCUGACGCAGCAACGCCGCGUGAGUGAUGAAGGCCUUCGGGUCGUAAAGCUCUGUCAGAGGGGAAGAAGUGAUAAGGUGCUAAUACCACUUUAACUUGACGGUACCCUCAAAGGAAGCACCGGCUAACUCCGUGCCAGCAGCCGCGGUGAUACGGAGGGUGCAAGCGUUGUUCGGAUUUAUUGGGCGUAAAGCGCGUGUAGGCGGUCUUUUAAGUYUGAUGUGAAAGCCCCGGGCUCAACCCGGGAAGUGCAUUGGAUACUGGGAGACUUGAAUACGGGAGAGGGUAGUGGAAUUCCUAGUGUAGGAGUGAAAUCCGUAGAUAUUAGGAGGAACACCGGUGGCGAAGGCGGCUACCUGGACCAAUAUUGACGCUGAGACGCGAAAGCGUGGGGAGCAAACAGGAUUAGAUACCCUGGUAGUCCACGCCGUAAACGAUGAGAACUAGGUGUUGCGGGUAUUGACCCCUGCAGUGCCGCAGCUAACGCAUUAAGUUCUCCGCCUGGGAAGUACGGUCGCAAGACUAAAACUCAAAUGAAUUGACGG